This 73-nucleotide small nuclear RNA is filed under the name Procavia capensis (Cape rock hyrax). The record is from RNAcentral. Lineage: Eukaryota; Metazoa; Chordata; Mammalia; Hyracoidea; Procaviidae.
CAUUACACAGAGAAAAUUGUCAUGGACCAUGUGCUAGAAUGACAUGCAAAUUUGUGAAGCAAAGUAUAUGUUU